CUGCAAACAAUUACAAAUGGGUUUAAGCGCCCAGUUCUUCCAAAGAGUGUGGUUACAGUCUGCAUCUGACACAAGCCUGACCAGGGCUUCUGAAUGGUCAGGGCACAGCGCAGGAUGGAUUCACUGUCCCUGUUCAUCUACUUCUGUGCCAUUGUGGUGAUACCAUGCUGCGGAUUCACUUUGGAUACAGAACAACCAAUCAUCUUCCAAGAAGCAGUCAAUAGCUUUGGACAAAGCGUAGUGCACUUUGGAGCAGGGGCAGAUGCGGGGGUGUUGGUCAGUGCCCCACUGCAGAAGGGGGACGUGAAUGAAACAGGAAAACUCUACAAAUGCCAGCAGAAGACAACCAAAGCAAGUAGAUGCCAAGAAGUCACUGUGCAAAGUA
This 385-nucleotide long non-coding RNA is filed under the name Salvator merianae (Argentine black and white tegu). Its description in RNAcentral is "lncRNA (ENSSMRG00000007075.1)". Lineage: Eukaryota; Metazoa; Chordata; Lepidosauria; Squamata; Teiidae. The record is from RNAcentral.